GCCGAUUUAGCUCAGCUGGUAGAGCAUCUCAUUCGUAAUGAGGGGGUCGUGGGUUCAAAUCCUAUAAUCGGCACCA
RNAcentral lists this transfer RNA (76 nucleotides) under Rickettsiales bacterium. RNAcentral's name for it is "tRNA-Thr". It matches the Rfam family "tRNA". Rfam says of the family: Transfer RNA (tRNA) molecules are approximately 80 nucleotides in length. Lineage: Bacteria; Pseudomonadati; Pseudomonadota; Alphaproteobacteria; Rickettsiales. The record is from RNAcentral.